UCUUGGGGUCCCCACCCUCCCUUACACCUGACACAUGCUGGUCGCUGUCUGGCUCUUGGUGUGGGCAAAAAGACAUGCAACUAAAGCUGUCUGUAAGGAAGGAAUGACAACUGGGAAAAGACGCAUGACACCAUCCUUCACAUUAACUUUUGAUUUUGUGUAAAAAGCGGGGGUGGGGUGGAGGAUGAAAGGACUUGCUUGUUUCCUAGUGUUGCUGGGGCAUAAAGGAAAGAGCUCAAUCUUCCCUAAAGAGCCCUUUCGUGAUCCAAAAUCUCAGCACCUGUAAGAAGAACUGGACGGGGGAAGGGAGAAAGUGAAGAACUGUAAACAGUUUUUCUCGUGAGCAAUCCUUAAUGCGGAAGUAAGAAUUCAUAAUUCGGUAUGCAGAUAAGGGACUUGAAAACCGGAAACUGAUAAUCAGAACAGAACAUCCUGCCUCUGAACUGUUUGAAUUGGAGGAAGACUUUUAAGAUCAGUCUGAGUGCUGUGGAUGCAGAGAAAUCCAGUAAUGUAAGCAUUAGUUCCUCCUAGACACAAAGGUUCCAACAGCUGAGGAACUAUGAGAUAAACCAGACAAGCCAUUGCAGACACUUGGUUAUACUGACUGUUGUCCUGGUGAAUGCCGGAUACCAGAAGGCAACAGAGGAAUGACAGGUGCAGGAGACCACAGAGGAAAGGGCACGAAGAGACUUAGGACCAAUCUUUUUCCAGACGGUGGAGUGCUGCCCAGUCCGGGCAACCAUCUGCUGUUGAACCCUGGGAAAGGGCAGGCUGGGGCUCCCGAGUCCCUCGGUGGGCUCCUCCCCAUGCCCUCAUCUGUUUUAGGCGGUGGUAAGAAAGCUCCUGAGACGGGUGGAGUAGCCCGUACAAAACACAAAAUUAUUAUUAUUUUUCCCGUUUCUGGAGCCAUUCCCUGGG
This 918-nucleotide long non-coding RNA is filed under the name Cricetulus griseus (Chinese hamster). RNAcentral describes it as "lncRNA (ENSCGRG00015041953.1)". The record is from RNAcentral. Lineage: Eukaryota; Metazoa; Chordata; Mammalia; Rodentia; Cricetidae.